RNAcentral lists this transfer RNA (65 nucleotides) under Dipodomys ordii (Ord's kangaroo rat). It matches the Rfam family "tRNA". From Rfam's summary of the family: Transfer RNA (tRNA) molecules are approximately 80 nucleotides in length. Their secondary structure includes four short double-helical elements and three loops (D, anti-codon, and T loops). The record is from Rfam by way of RNAcentral. Lineage: Eukaryota; Metazoa; Chordata; Mammalia; Rodentia; Heteromyidae.
GGUGGCUCAGUGGUAGAGUGCUUGCCUUGCAUGCAUGAAACCCUAGGUUCGAUUCCUCAGCACCA